GAUUUUGACAAAGUGUGGAAGAAUGAGGAAUCUGUCUGUUGGAAGAUGUAUUUAUUACUACCAGUCAUAAUGAUGUUCUGUCCUCGCUAGGCUCAUUUGAAUGGCUCAGUGUGGCAGGACCCUCAGGGUAUCUUGACAGCGACCGUGGACACCGAACUAGAGGGCAAAAGGGGUUUCCUGAGGCUGAAUGCAAGGGCCUGGCCGGAGCUGAGUGUGGAAGGCGAGCUCAGUCACAACCUUCCUGCUCUCAAAGGUUUACUGCAGCACAGCAGACUGAGGGUCACCUGCAGGGCCGGAAAACAACGAUAUGACAGCGAAGCCCUCCUUCAGAUGGAGGAGUGUACCGUCAGAGCCAGUGGAGCUGUGAUGUCACAGCCUGGCCUGCAGGGGGCGCUGCUGUAUCACAACAACUGCACCAUGAUUCAGGAGUGGGGUAGUCCGGACAGGAUGCAGUCUUCCGGGUCGUUGGUUGUCUCCCCAACUCUUGCAGAAUCUCAGGUCUCCAUAGCGAUAGAUGAUGCAGAGUUACAGGCUUCGGUGGCUCUUAAGAAAACCAAGGUCUGGAAAUGCAUGAAAACAUUUGUUACCUAAAACAAAGCCUUUAACAUCCAAUGAAACUUUUACUUGUAAUACAAAGAGACGAAGGAUGUGACGCCAUGUAUCACCAUCCAGUGCUGUUGUUUUUUCAGGAUAAAAAUGAAGCAUCUCUCAAUCUAAAUCACUCCGUGCCCCUGUUGAAGGAGCUGGGUCUCCCUGUUACUGCUGCACUGACAAUGAAUUCUGGGAGUCACGGCAAUGGCUCGUACUAUUACCUUCUACAUAGCAGCGCAGGAAGCCAGAAGGUAGGAGGCAGCAUUAGCACUCUGUGAAACAGUUUCUUGGGAUGUUGGGAUGAAAUGCCAGGACCACAAUGAUCUACUGUAUAUGCAUCUAUAACCACAGCAACCUUCUACUGUAUGUAACCGCUGCUUCUCUCAAUGUUUCACAGCUAACUCAAGGGAUGACUGUCUCAAAGAUGUCUGAAACAGUCAGAAUGAAAAGUUAUUUUAGACACACAGUGAACUAUCUGAAGAAAGUGGGAGUCCCUGCAAACAACAGCAUCCAGGUGAGAAACCAGAAGCUCAAGAAGUGACGGUUGAAUGACUUGAAACAGCUCACCGAAUGAAGGUGGACGUGAAAAAGUGAAGUGCCAAUGGGCCGUCGGAC
Molecule: long non-coding RNA, 1206 nt
Filed under: Cottoperca gobio
Lineage: Eukaryota; Metazoa; Chordata; Actinopteri; Perciformes; Bovichtidae
Description: lncRNA (ENSCGOG00000010569.1)
Source: RNAcentral